GGAAUUUUGAAAAUAGAGGGGCUUUUUGGGAUUUUGUUACAUUAGAGGGUUAUACCACCUCUCUCUCUCACUCUUAGCUUCUCUCUCUCCUUCUCACUUAGCUCUCUCUCUCUCUAAACCGAAAAGAGAAGGAAAAGAAGAAAAGAAGGAGAGAAAGAAAGAGAAGAAGAAGGAAAGGAAGGAGAAGAUCAAGGAGAAGAAGAAGAAGCUUCUCUCCCUCCUCUUCCUCAAUCUA
Molecule: long non-coding RNA, 235 nt
Filed under: Ananas comosus (pineapple)
Lineage: Eukaryota; Viridiplantae; Streptophyta; Magnoliopsida; Poales; Bromeliaceae
Description: long non-coding RNA (ACOM_LNC041580)
Source: RNAcentral